UACGGGGGGGCAAGCGUUGUUCGGAAUUACUGGGCGUAAAGGGCUCGUAGGUGGCCAACUAAGUCAGACGUGAAAUCCCUCGGCUUAACCGGGGAACUGCAUCUGAUACUGGAUGGCUUGAGUUUGGGAGAGGGACGCGGAAUUCCAGGUGUAGCGGUGAAAUGCGUAGAUAUCUGGAGGAACACCGGUGGCGAAGGCGGCGUCCUGGACCAACACUGACGCUGAGGAGCGAAAGCCAGGGGAGCAAACGGG
This 252-nucleotide ribosomal RNA is filed under the name uncultured bacterium. Its description in RNAcentral is "partial 16S ribosomal RNA". It matches the Rfam family "Bacterial small subunit ribosomal RNA", at positions 524 to 776 of the family's 1533-position model. The record is from RNAcentral.